RNAcentral lists this ribosomal RNA (433 nucleotides) under uncultured bacterium. Its description in RNAcentral is "partial 16S ribosomal RNA". It matches the Rfam family "Bacterial small subunit ribosomal RNA", at positions 29 to 507 of the family's 1533-position model. The record is from RNAcentral.
AGCGAACGCUGGCGGCAGGCUUAACACAUGCAAGUCGAGCGGGCACUUCGGUGUCAGCGGCAGACGGGUGAGUAACACGUGGGAACGUACCCUUUGGUUCGGAAUAACGCUGGGAGACUAGCGCUAAUACCGGAUACGCCCUUUUGGGGAAAGGCUUGCUGCCGAAGGAUCGGCCCGCGUCUGAUUAGCUAGUUGGUGGGGUAAUGGCCUACCAAGGCGACGAUCAGUAGCUGGUCUGAGAGGAUGAUCAGCCACACUGGGACUGAGACACGGCCCAGACUCCUACGGGAAGCAGCAGUGGGGAAUAUUGGACAAUGGGCGCAAGCCUGAUCCAGCCAUGCCGCGUGAGUGAUGAAGGCCUUAGGGUUGUAAAGCUCUUUUGUCCGGGACGAUAAUGACGGUACCGGAAGAAUAAGCCCCGGCUAACUUCGUG